UAAUUACUUUCUUCGUUCCAAAAUUCUUAUCUUAGACUUAUAUAGAUAUGAAUGUAUCUAGUCAUAUUUAGUAUUUAGGUACAUUCGUUUCUAGAUAAAGCUAAGACAAGAAUUUUGUGACGGAGGGAGUACCAU
Hordeum vulgare subsp. vulgare (domesticated barley) is the source of this 135-nucleotide non-coding RNA. Lineage: Eukaryota; Viridiplantae; Streptophyta; Magnoliopsida; Poales; Poaceae. The record is from Rfam.